Molecule: long non-coding RNA, 2409 nt
Organism: Gallus gallus (chicken)
Lineage: Eukaryota; Metazoa; Chordata; Aves; Galliformes; Phasianidae
Source: Ensembl
UUUUCUUUCUGGAGAUCCCUCUGUGGUGAAGCUUUCCCUUACAAACCGGGAAUCUUCAGAUAUGGUUGUUGUCAGUAUCUCCUCCAGAAGACGUAAUGUACGGUCUCUAUGCCCUGUGGAAUUCUGGAGAGUGCAUGCUUUCAUUGGAGUCUUCACAAAGCACUCACAACAGGGGCUGCCAGCUGUGGCUUGAAGCUUCUACUUCUCUGCCCUGCGUCGGACACAAGUACAAACAAGAGAGAUUAUGCUUCUUCGGAUUACCUUUGCUGCAAUAAUCUUCUCCAAUCCCAUAACAAGUUGUGAUUUUCACAAGAUUAACUCAUUUCCUAUUGAUAUUGCUCCUUCCCCAGGCUUCAGUGGAAAAAUUCAGCUUUGAGUUGACUUAAAACUUGAAAUGUCCUAUACAAAAAAAGAAGAAACAAGACUUAAAUAAGAUUUUCUGCUCAAACUGUUGUUCAUUCUCACUGGCAUCUGGAGAUUUGCAUGUUCCUCAGCACAGGCCAAAUUCUGCCCCUGCAGCAUUGAAAAAGGUGUUUAGUGCUCCCUUGGUGAGGGGUUGGCCAGUUUUUUUGCUGCCUCAAGCUGCUCCCUCACAACAAAGUUGCUCGUACAAAAGUUGUUGUUGCUGUGCUCUCAACUGCCUCAUGCUGGCAGACAAGGUCGGUCUUACAAGCUCUAGAUUUCUUAAUGUCCUGCUGACACAGAGGGCUUUUAGAUGGCAAAAACCCAGCAAAGGUUUAACAGUAAGUAUCUCAUACUAUUGGCAAAGGGAGACUUCUGCUGUCUCGUGCUCCUAAGUCAUGCCCUAUCUGCAGAAAAUGGGUAAGAGAAGGGAUUGCGAUGAUGCUGAGGGGAAGGCAGACAAAUAGUGAGAUCUGAUUCAGGAAUAAGUCUAUGAAAAGGCAAGAGGUUCUGCUAAGUCACUUUCUCUGGGUAUUGUUCCAUUUUAUUUUUUGCAAGAACUAGCAUCUUUUUUUUCCCCCCAUGACUUACAAAAUUUGUCUGCUAUGAUUAAUUUUUGCUAUUUCUGGGCUGCCAUCCCCUGCACCUGAGGUGAUCCUUAAGUAGCCAUGCAGUGACUGGCCACAGGCCAUUGCUGUCAGUCACUUAGAGCAUCACACAACAGUUUUACCAGGAGAUAAUGUAAGGAUUUACACUCCACCACUUUACCUGUACAGCAAGCUGAGGUAAACCAAUUUGGUGGAAAUGUAAUUUUGCUCCUUACAGUUUGUAUUUGCUCCAGAUGAUCAUAAUCAGAGAAAUCUUCCAUCCUCUCUGGCCUGAACUGUAUCUUCAGUGCAGGUACUUAUUUUAGAAUUCUGAAUCUGAGAGGAAUAUAAGGAAGGUGGGACGGGGCAGAGUGUAAUUGAGACCUCUACUCUUGUGGCCUUAUUACAACAUACUAUGGACAACAUGUGAGAGCUGUUCUCUGCUAAAGAUCUUAAAACCAUUGGAGAAAAAGGAGAGGCUAAACAAGUUUUGUGUUGAAUAUUGCUGGAAAUGGAAAGGAGCUCUGGUAAAUUACUUGAGGACUGAGAUCUUGAUGCAAAUAAGUUUGAAACUUUUAAAAUGUAUUUAGAGAUUUUCUGGAUUCCUGACUUCUCAAAAAGUGCUGAGUAUUUACAGCAGUGGAAAACAAGCUUCUUUAAUGUGGCUAAGUGUGAAUGCAGAAUUGGAUACAUCAGAAAUACCCAGUUUCUUUCAUGAAGCUCCAGUUAAGUACAAAGAUCCAGAUUUAAAAUGUAAUACAAUCCUAAACAAUUAUUAGUGCUGUUUUAAACAGUUGUCAGUGGUUUUUGCAAGGGAUUGAGGGUUGUUUAGAUAAAGAUAACACACUGAUAAGAAGUCAUUUUGGGACAGAAGAUAUUUCAGUCUUGACAAACAACUAUGAACUGCCUUAAACUUAACUCCCCCAGGACUUGAACUUCAAGAUCUUCUCAGACCCAAAGCAACAAAGCACAGCCUGUGCCAUGGAAAACAGCAGAGCCAGCAGCCCAUGGAGCUGAUGUGCUGCUGGAGGGGAGGCCAGCAGCAUGUCAUCAUGUGUCAUGCAGGUCAUGGGCUCCGUAACUAGAGGAACAUGCUGACCUGGAGCAAGUCAGACCACAGCGCUUCACACCAGCUUGAACUGUCAGAGUCUUACUGGAAUCUUCCUGUAAAACACUAGAAGCAGGUUAGCUGUCAGGCCCCAGACUACAGACAGCUGUGUCUGUGGCUCACACUGGGAAAGGAAGGUUGACUACAUGGCUGAUACACACACUAGCUGUAGAGCAAGAAUUGACUUUUAAAUUAAAUAUUAAUAAAACAAACAAAAAUUGAGGGCCAAAGUUUAAAAUAUCUAUACAAGUAAAAGAAAUGUGUAAGCAAAAGGCAACCCAUUGCUGCCACUCACUGGGUAAAUGGACAGCC